GGGAAUUGCUGUCCUCAGUAAACUGAGUCUCUCUUCAGGAAAAAAGACUUCAAACCAUGGGGAUGGCCAGUGCUCUUUGCCCACAAUAAACACUAGAAUGAAGAGGAAAAGAUGGAAUAAUUUUCAGAUGAGUUGGACCUUUAUUUCCCCACCAAAGACUCUCUCUCUCCCCUUGAUGUUUCUUCCUUCCCAGAGAAAUGAGAGAUAUUGUUUCUAACCAAGAUAUUCAAUUGAGAAAGAUUCUUUCAAUUCCUGGGCAGGCAACUGGCAACCAUGGAGUAGCUUUAUCUAUCUAUCUCUUGAAAGUAGUUCUGACCUCUAUCUGGUGUGUGAUGUCUGGAGUGAUUGCAAACAUCUGGCAGGAAUACUCGUUUUUGUACAUAGUUUGUAAUAUUGACCUAAAUUCAGAGUGCUUGGCAUUUGAAUGGUUACAUUUACAAAACAAAUAAUCCAAAAUGGUAAUUCUUUUAGGAAAGUGGCUACCAUUUUUAUCCAGACCAAAGAAUCAGUAUGUCUUAUGUUCUUUGAGUGUGUGGAAAAGCGUUUUGAAUUAGGAAGAAUGAAGUUUUUUUGUGUAAGAUAUAUGCCGGUAGUGAAACAGAUUGGCCAGGAAGGUUAAGACUUGUUUUUAAACUGUGAACAAGAUAGUUUGCAUGAGAAAAACACUCUUGUGAUGAGAUAAUAGGUUCUUAGGAAGGAGCUUUUUUCACUGGGCUCAAGUAGGCAGAACUUCUUUCUCAGCUAUGGAACCCUAGUGUUUAGUCUUGAUGUCUGCUGUCCUCAAUACCAACAGCUAUCAGAUGUUGGGGAUGAGACCACCAUUAUAAACUCAUAUUUUUCAAGAAAAACCAGGGCCUCUUUCAAGUGAGCUCACAAAACUUUUCUUUUUAAACAGUGUUCUAUGAAGGGAAGUGCUUGUACUGUUGUGUGAUAUCAGGAGUGACUGGCAGGCAUGCUCACUUUUGUACAUGGCAUUAAGCCAAACUCAGAAUGCUAAGCUUCUCUAAGUUUAGCUUUAGGGAAAGCAUAAUCAAACAGGUUAGUUCUCUUAGGAAAGUGUCAACUGUUUUUGGUCAGAACAAAGUACCCUUAUGCUGUGUGACUCUGUCCCUAAGAAAAGUCUUAAUGUUUUCCUCAACUUAGACUCUGCACUCUUCCUAAGGUUGUGAAUUUUCCUUAACUAAUGCCCAGUUAUGUUCCCAGCUAAGGUCCUUGCUGUCCAUACCUAAGACUCUGACACUGUGUCUAACUCAGUCCCUGUGUUGUCCCCAACUAUGGCCAUGUACUGUCCCUAAGACCCCUAUGUGUCCUUAACUAAGGCCAAGAUUUUUGCCACCUAAGGAAUUGAGUUAUCACCGAUUACAGCCCUGACUCUAACUUCUAAUGCUGUCCCUAACAUAGGCCCUGUGCUAUCCCUAAGGCCCUGAAUUGUCCCUAAGUAAAGCGCUGGCUUAUCCCUAAAUGACUUCCCUACUGAAGUCACAAAGCUGUCUUCAUCUAAGGCCCUGCACAUUCCUAACCAGGGCCCUACACUGUCCUUCACUGUAACCCUGAGCUCUUCCCAACUAAAAUCCAUACUCUUCCCCUAAUUAUGGCACUGGGCUCUCCCUAACAAAAACACUGAGCUUCUUCUAACUAAAUCUUUGACUCUCUCUGGAAAUAAAGACCCAGCGAUGUCCCUAAAUAAGGUCCUGGGUAAUCCCUAAAAGAGGUUAUGCAUAUCUCCCCACCUUUGUCCCUAUUCUAUCCCAAAGGUCCUGGCAAUGUGCCUAACUUAGGCCCUGCACUGUCUUUAACUGAGGACUUACAUUCUCCUUCACUAACAACCUGAGCUCCAACUAACACCCUGUUUCCCUACCUAAGGCUCUACACUGUCCCUAAAUAAGGCCCUAGGAUGUCCUUACCUAAGGUCCUGCACUAACCCUAACUCAUGCUCUAAGCUUUCUCUAAUUAAGGUCCUAUCUCUUUACUGAAUUUAGGCCCAGCCACAUCCAUAUCUAAAGCCCUAAACCCUCUCCAACUAAGACCUUCGGCUGAUUAUAUUAAGGACCCUGACUCUGUCCUAAGUAAGCACCAGUUGUUAUCCCAAAUGAGGCCUUUCAAUCUUCUAAAGGUUGUACACGGUCUCUACCUAAAGCCCUGUUUUUUCCAUAACUAAUGCCAUGAUCUGUCCCUACUAAGGCUCUUAUAUGUCCUUAAAUAAGGGCCUGAGUUAUCUCUAUCUGAGGCUCUGACUUUUUCCCUAAGGCCCUGUGCUAUGUCCUCCAACUAUGGCCUUGACCCAGUCCCUAAGAAAGUCCUAAUUUUGUUCUCAACUAGAUACUGCACUUUCGUUAACAUCAUGCACUCUCCUUAUAAGGCCCUUGCUGUCCAUACCUAAAAUCCUGACACUGUGUCUAACUCAGACCACAUAUUAUUCCUAACUAAGGCCCUUAUGUGUCCCUAAAAGUCCCAGAUUUGCCCUGAGUAAUCUCCAAAGGCCCUGCACUGUCCCUAUCAGCCUUAUGUGUCCUUAACUAAGAUGCAUAUGUGUCCAGAAUUAAGGCCCUGAAUUAUCUCCAACUAUGGCCCUGACUCUGUCCCUAAGAAAAGUCCUGAUGCUGUCCUCGACUUAUACCCUGCACUGUUUCUCAGGCUUGCCUUUUUCCUAAAUAAUGCCCUGUACUAUCCCUAAUUGAGGCCCUGACACUGUUUCUACCUAAGUCCCUAUUCUAUCUCCAACUAAGGCCCUGGCAGUGUGUCUAACUUAGGCCCUGUGCUGUCCCUAUAUAGGCCCUGGCAUAGCCUUGAACUAUCCCUUGAGCUCUCCAACUAAUAUAUUGAUUUUCUUUAACUGUAACACUGGGUUAUACCUAACUAAGCCUCUGUACUAUCUCUAAAUAAGACCCAUAUAUGUCCUUAAAUAAGGCCUAGAUUUUCUCCAUCUAAGGGCCUGAGUUCUCCUCAACUAUGGCUCUGACUCAGUCUCAACUAAGGCCCUACACUAUGUGCACAGGGCCCUUGACUCUGUCCCUAAGAAAAGUCCUAAUGCUGUCCUCAACUUAGAUUCUGCAUUUCCUAUGACCAUAUAUGGCCAUAACCAAUGAACUAGUCUACCCUUAACUGAGGCCCUGUCAGUCUCCCUAUCUAAGUCCCUAUUCUAUCUCUAACAAAGACUUAAAUAAAGUCCUUCACUGUCCCUAACUAAGUCCCAUAUGUAUCCUGAACUAAGACCAUAAUUAUCUCCAACUUUAUCUGUCCCUAAAUAAGCCAUGUGCUAUGUCCAACUAUAGUCCUUACUCUGUCCCUAAGAAAAAUCCUAAUGCUGUCCUCAACUUAGACCCUGCACUGUAACUGACUGUGUACUGUCUUUAACUAAGGCCCAGUUAUGUCCCUAAAUGUGGCCCUGCACUGUCCCUAACCAAGACCUUCAUGUAUCCUUAACUAAGACCCAUUUAUGUCCUUUAGUAAGGUCCUGAUUAUCUCUUCUAAGAUGCUGAGUUAUCUCUAACUAAGACUCUGACCCUGGCCCUAACUAAGGCCCUUUGCUAUAUCCAACUAUGCCUCUGAUUCGGUCCCUAAAAAGUCUUAAUGCUGUUCCUACUUAGGCCCUGCAUUUUUCCUAAGGCCAUGUCCCUAACCUGACCAUAGGACUAACACUACCUAAGGCCCUGCACUGCUCCAAAGACCCUUCACUGUUCUUAACUAUUCCUCUGAGCUGUCUCCAACUAAAGCCCUCACUCUUUCCCUAACUGUGGCACUGGGCUGUCCAUAACUAAAACUCUGGGCUUUCUCUAACUGCUGCCUUGGGUCUCUCUAGAACGAAGUCCCUGUGCUGUCCCUAGCUAAGGCUUUGGGCUAUCCCUAAAUGAGGGCCUGAAACUGUUCUUACAUUUCUCCCUAAAUUAUCUUCAACUAAGGCCCUGACAGUUUGCAUAACUAAGGCCCAUGCACUGACCCCAUCUAACACCCUGACACUGUCCCUAACCAAGGCCCUAUACUACUUAUAAAUAAGGCCCUGAACUGUCCCUAAGACUCUAAUAGUGUCCCUAACUAAGGCCCUGAUACUCCCUAAGUUUCUAUAUUGUCCCAAUCAUCUUGAGCACUCUCCAACUAACAUGCCAAAUUUUUCCUUAAUUCUGACCCUGAGCUGUCCUAAACUAAACACCUGAGCUUCUCUAUAAAGACUUUACUCUCUUCCAAACUAAGGCCCUGGCAUGUCCCUACCAGGCCCUGUGCUAAUCCUAACUCAUACUCUGAGCUGUCUCUAAUUAGAGCCCUGACUCUUUAACUAAGGCUUGGCCUUUUUCCUAGAUAAAGCCCUAAGCCCUCCCCAACUAAGACCAUCAUCUCUCUCUAGUUAAGGCCCUGACAUUGUCCCUAAGUAAGGACCUGAUGUUGUCCUUAACUGAGGCCCUUCACUUUUCCAAACUAAGGUUAUGUGCUGUCCCUACCUAAAGCCCUGUUCCUUCCCAACUAAGGAUAGCUGUGUCCCUAAGGCUCUGAAAGUGUCCUUAGCUAGGUCCUGAUUAAAUCAACGAAGGCACUGAGUUUGUCUCUGGUUAAGGCCCUACGCUAUGUUCAACCCCAGCCCUGAUUCUCUCCCUAAGUAAAGUCCUAAGGCUAUUUCUAACGGAGGAUCUCCUUGUCACCAACUAUGGCCAUGCUCUGUUCCUAACUAAGGCCCUGUGCUAUCUCCAGCUAUGUCCAGACUCUAUCCCUUAGAAAAGUCUUAAUUCUGUCUUCAACCUAGAGCCUGCAGUGUUGCUAAUGCAUGACUGUCCUUAACUAAGGCCCAGUUACAUCCGUUACUAAGGCCUUUGCUGUCCAUCCUAAGGUCUGACACUGUGCCUAACUCAGGGCCUGUGUUGUCCCUAACUAAACCCUGUGUUAUCCCUAAGACCCUUGAGGAGAGCACAAGGAAGAAGAGCUUAGGCGGUUACAUGUGCCUUACCUACACUCAAACGAAUUCAUUUUGUCCUGUACACGCACCCUACAUCAGUCUGAACUGCAGAUUUUUGGCUUCACCACCUCCACUGAGAGAAUUAGCUUAACCUACUGUGGGACAUCUCCCAUAGGAUUUCCAGAACCACAAAAAUCAUAGAGUUCAUGCUCAUGUGUAAUCACAUUUCAUAGGACCCAGAGAUUGUGUCUAGCGUCCUGGUGACUCUGCUGUAGCAGAGCCGCCCAGUUCCCACCACAACCCGUUAGACUUUUCCUGCUCACAGCUACCCUGCACCUCCUAGCCUGCCUACCCCUUGCAGAUUGGGGCACAGUAUCUCCUGUUACCAAUGGGAAGUGGUGGAGGUGUUGAGGCCCUGGGCCAGCCUGCAUCCUAGGACAGAGGGCAUGGUGCCCAUGUGGUCACCCCAUCCCCUUCUGUUGGAGCCCUCCACCUGGAAACAGGGAGGGUAAACAAGGUGGGCAGAGCCUCGGUCCCGACACUGACUUGCCCUACACUCUCACAUGAAGGGGACAAGACAUCUGGAGCUUCAGCUCAUUGGAGGGGGGGUGCAUUUGUUCUAGCAACAAACCUUUGCCCUAAAAGAUGAAGAGCCUUUGGAGUUCCCAUCAUGGCGCAGUGGUUAAUGAAUCCAACUAGGAACCAUGAGGUUGCGAUUCGGUCCCUGCCUUGCUCAGUGGGUUAAAGGAUCCGCAUUGCCGUGAGCUGUGUGUAGGUUGCAGAUGCAGCUCGGAUCCCGCAUUGCUGUGGCUCUGGUGUAGGCCGGUGGCUACAGCUCCGAUUAGACCCUAACCUGGGAACCUCCAUAUGCCACGGGAGUGGCCCUAGAAAAG
RNAcentral lists this long non-coding RNA (5775 nucleotides) under Sus scrofa (pig). RNAcentral's name for it is "lncRNA (ENSSSCG00000055776.1)". Lineage: Eukaryota; Metazoa; Chordata; Mammalia; Artiodactyla; Suidae. The record is from RNAcentral.